RNAcentral lists this ribosomal RNA (2377 nucleotides) under Levilactobacillus senmaizukei DSM 21775 = NBRC 103853. RNAcentral describes it as "bacterial LSU rRNA". It matches the Rfam family "Bacterial large subunit ribosomal RNA", at positions 540 to 2925 of the family's 2925-position model. The record is from RNAcentral. Lineage: Bacteria; Bacillati; Bacillota; Bacilli; Lactobacillales; Lactobacillaceae.
GAAAUAGUUCCUGAAACCAUGUGCCUACAAUUAGUUAGAGCCCGUUAAUGGGUGAUAGCGUGCCUUUUGUAGAAUGAACCGGCGAGUUACGUUAAUUUGCAAGGUUAAGGUGGAAAGACCGGAGCCGUAGCGAAAGCGAGUCUGAAACGGGCGUUUCAGUAAAUUGACGUAGACCCGAAACCAGGUGACCUAUCCAUGUCCAGGUUGAAGGUGCGGUAAAACGCACUGGAGGACCGAACCCGUGUAUGUUGAAAAAUGCUGGGAUGAGGUGUGGAUAGCGGUGAAAUUCCAAACGAACUUGGAGAUAGCUGGUUCUCUCCGAAAUAGCUUUAGGGUUAGCCUCGGAGUCAAGAAUCGUGGAGGUAGAGCCACUGUUUGGACUAGGGGCCCGUCAUGGGUUACUGAAUUCAGAUAAACUCCGAAUGCCACUGAUUUAUAUCCGGGAGUCAGACGAUGAGUGAUAAGAUCCACCGUCGAAAGGGGAACAGCCCAGACCAUCAAUUAAGGUCCCUAAAUACAUGCUGAGUGGAAAAGGAUGUGGAGUUGCAUAGACAGCUAGGAUGUUGGCUCAGAAGCAGCCACCAUUUAAAGAGUGCGUAAUAGCUCACUAGCCGAGUGAUCCUGCGCCGAAAAUUUACCGGGGCUAAGCAUGUUACCGAAAUUAUGGAUGCAACCAAUAGGUUGCGUGAUAGGAGAGCGUUCUAAGGGCAAUGAAGCCAGACCGCAAGGACUGGUGGAGCGCUUAGAAGUGAGAAUGCCGGUAUGAGUAGCGAAAGAUCAGUGAGAAUCUGAUCCACCGAAUGACUAAGGUUUCCUGGGGAAGGCUCGUCCUCCCAGGGUUAGUCGGGACCUAAGCCGAGGCUGAGAAGCGUAGGCGAUGGAUAACAGGUUGAUAUUCCUGUACUAGUUAAUCAUGUUUGAACAAUGGAGGGACGCAGCAGGCUACGAUAUGCGCACGAUUGGAAAUGUGCGUUCAAGCAUCAAGUCUGGCGGUGAGUUAAAUGCUUAUCGCUAAGGACAAGGUGUUACGAGGACCGAAUUUUAGUAGGGAAGUAUCCGAUGUCACACUGCCGAGAAAAGCUUCUAGUUAGUGAUUAAUUACCCGUACCGCAAACCGACACAGGUAGUCGAGGAGAGUAUCCUAAGGUGAGCGAGUGAACUCUCGUUAAGGAACUCGGCAAAAUGACCCCGUAACUUCGGGAGAAGGGGUGCUGCACGCAAGUGCAGCCGCAGUGAAUAGGCCCAGGCGACUGUUUAUCAAAAACACAGGUUUCUGCAAAAUCGUAAGAUGACGUAUAGGGGCUGACGCCUGCCCGGUGCUGGAAGGUUAAGUGGAUGAGUUAGCUUCGGCGAAGCCCAGAAAUGAAGCCCCAGUAAACGGCGGCCGUAACUAUAACGGUCCUAAGGUAGCGAAAUUCCUUGUCGGGUAAGUUCCGACCCGCACGAAAGGCGUAACGAUCUGGGCACUGUCUCAACGAGAGACUCGGUGAAAUUAUAUUACCUGUGAAGAUGCAGGUUACCCGCGACAGGACGGAAAGACCCCAUGGAGCUUUACUGUAGCUUGAUAUUGGGUGUUGACACAGCUUGUACAGGAUAGGUCGGAGCCGUAGAACUCGGAACGCUAGUUUCGAGUGAGGCGCUGGUGGGAUACGACCCUCGCUGUGUGAAUACUCUAACCCACACCACUAAUCGUGGUGGGAGACAGUGUCAGGUGGGCAGUUUGACUGGGGCGGUCGCCUCCUAAAAAGUAACGGAGGCGCCCAAAGGUUCUCUCAGAAUGGUUGGAAAUCAUUCGCUGAGUGUAAAGGCAGAAGAGAGCUUGACUGCGAGACAGACAGGUCGAGCAGGGACGAAAGUCGGGCUUAGUGAUCCGGUGGUACCGUAUGGAAGGGCCAUCGCUCAACGGAUAAAAGCUACCCUGGGGAUAACAGGCUUAUCUCCCCCAAGAGUCCACAUCGACGGGGAGGUUUGGCACCUCGAUGUCGGCUCAUCGCAUCCUGGGGCUGUAGUCGGUCCCAAGGGUUGGGCUGUUCGCCCAUUAAAGCGGUACGCGAGCUGGGUUCAGAACGUCGUGAGACAGUUCGGUCCCUAUCCGUCGCGGGCGUAGGAAAUUUGAGAGGAGCUGUCCUUAGUACGAGAGGACCGGGAUGGACAUACCUCUGGUGUACCAGUUGUGCCGCCAGGCGCAUCGCUGGGUAGCUAUGUAUGGAUGAGAUAAACGCUGAAAGCAUCUAAGUGUGAAACUCGCCUCGAGAUGAGAUUUCCCAUUCCUAUAUGGAAGUAAGACCCCUGAGAGAUGAUCAGGUAGAUAGGCUGGAAGUAGCAGCACCGUGAGGUGUGGAGCGGACCAGUACUAAUCGGUCGAGGACUUAACCAA